GCUCUGUAGUAUAGUUUGAAGUCAGGUCUUGUGAUCCUUCCAACAUUGAUUUUUAGGGUUGGAAUUGCUUUGGGUAUUCUGGGUCUUUCAUUCUUCCAAAGGCACUUUAGAAAUAUUUUAUGUAGUUCUGUGAAAAAAAUCUCAUUGGGGUAUUUUGAUGGGGAUUACAUUGAAUCUGUGUAUUACUUUUGGUUUUAUGUUCACUUUAGCAAUAUUCAUUCUGCUUAUCUCUGAACGUGGGAGUUCUCUCCAUCUUCUUGUGUCUUCUUCAGUUUCUUUCUUCAAUGUUCUAUGAUUUACAUUGUAGAGGUCUUUUAACGCCUUGGUUAAUACUCCAAGGUAUUUUCUUUUUCAAGGUUAUCAGGAAUGGUGUUGGUUUUCUGAUUUCUUUCUCAGGUGAUUCAUUAUUGGGGUAUUGGAUCUUCUAAGUAUAGAAUUGUUAAAUUUGCAAUCAUUGAUGAUUCGACUUCUUCUUUUUCUAUUUUUAUCCCAUUGAUUUCCUUCUCUUGCCUAUUUACUCUGCCUAGAAUUUCUAGUAGUAUAUUGAAUAGGAGGCAUGAGUGUAGACAUCCUUUUCUUGUUCUAAAUUUUCAUGGAAAUGCUUUCAGUUUUUUCCCAUUCACUAUGAUGUUGGCUUUGGCUUUGUUGAAUAUAGACUUUAUGAUGAGGUAAGUUCCUUCUAUGCCUAGUUUCCUUGGUGUCUUUAUC
This 708-nucleotide long non-coding RNA is filed under the name Marmota monax (woodchuck). Lineage: Eukaryota; Metazoa; Chordata; Mammalia; Rodentia; Sciuridae. The record is from RNAcentral.